CAAAGGUCAGUGCAUACGAGUGUUGGUGAGGAGCUUUUACUACUAAUCUUGUUUGUUCAUUUUGUAGGUACAAGGUGAUAUAAGGGGAACAUGUCUUCGAUAGCCGCAAAUUAUUGUGACUACGACAUGGGAGACUAUGAUUGUAGUGAGGGAUUUUUUGGCUACGAUGACGAUGGAGGUUAUGGGGGCUAUGAAAAUAGCCAUGAUCAAGACAUGGGCAGAAUAGGGGGUUACGGAUUUGAGGGAGAAAAUGAGAUGAAUGAAGUGCCUAGUGCUUAUGGUGAAUAUGGAGAUGAUGAAGAGCUUUGUGAUGGUUCUUAGGAUGAAGUGAGGGCAUGUGAGGAGUCUUACACUUCCCACUCCGAACCUAGAAUUGGUGUAAGGUAUAACCCCUUCAUUCGCAAAGCUUAUUAGAGCUAUGGUAAGAGUGCACGUGUGGAGUAUGAAAAUUCAUAUUCCUCACCUUGUAGUACUUCUUAUCAAGGUCGAAGUGGCGUGAAUGGUUAUACUAGCUAUAGGGGAGGUUGUCCCAUGAGAAGAAGAGGGUAUGCAUCUCCAAAGCCGAAGAGUACUUAUAUGCGCAUGGGGUAUACUAUGUUGAUCCAAGAAGAAAUAUUCACGCCGGAAGGGUCACCAUUUGUAGGGUUUUGGGCUGCCUUAUUGUGCUAGAUGAUAGGUGCUAUAAAAACCACAUCAUUCCACUCAUGAUUGAUCAUUUGGGGCUGUUUCGAGAACCUUUACUUGUUCCAUAUUCCUUGGACGGGUUUAAGGUUACCGAGAGAGUAAAGGUUGUCUUCAACCAAUUUGAAUACUAUGAGGAGGUGUGGUGUGAUAUCUUCCCCUUGAAACAAGACCAUGUAAGCUUGGUUGCCGAUUGGUUUGCACAACAUAAAGUUCCAAGUGUGCAAAAUUGGCCUAAGGUUGUAAGAGAUCAAUGGGGAAAUCAUCUCAUUACGUCUAUUCUUCCCAAGUCUCCAAGAAAAGUGGUCACUUACUCCAAGCCGAAUGAUUAUGAGAGACGAAAGAUUGAGAGGAGUAAGGGUGUGCAAGGUGGCAAUCUGAAAGUGGAAAAGGAGAGGUUGUGAGGAGUGAAGUGAGGGGGUUGUCACCAAACCGAGCUAACUAUGUUUGUCCUAUUAUUUCUAAGGACAUUUGUGUAGGUACCAACAUGGGAAGGGAGGAGAACAAGUGCUAAAGGAGAAGAUUCCCUUUGACGACUUGACUAGGGAAAGCUUAGUUGCUGCCGAAGCUUGUGGGGAACCUUCACACCAAGGUAAAGAAGAAUAUACUCAAGAACUUCAAGGUAUGGAUUCGGGGUCGAAUCCUUUUCAAGAAGGGGAGGAUGAUACAACUCAAAUGGCCAACAUAGCUUUUGAUGCCAUCAUGGGAGGCCAACACUUAAAAACUCAAGCUUUGGUCACCUCGAGAACACAAGAGCAUGCAUGGAGGACCCAUUUCAUACACUUAAGAGAGCAAUUCCGUGUGUGGAAGGUUGCUUGGAGGCUUGCCUUGAUGACUACCCGAGAGCUCCAAAGGAUUGCACAUAUUGAAGUGUGAAGAGGAAUCCAAACACUCCAAGGCCGCCCCUCAUUAAGGGUGUUUUGGCCAUUUCAUUAUGUGAAGUCCAAGCACUCCAAGGCCGCUCCUCAUUAAGGGUAUUUUGGCCAUUUGACUAUGUAAUAAGUUAUACUAUAAGUAGGCUCUUAUUGGGCUUAUUUUCCUUAGUUUUUGAUGAUGAUAUUUUGAGAGAAACAUUCUUGAACUCCAUUGGGAGGAACUUUUAGUGUAGGGCUUCGAAAAGCCAAGUAGUGUAGGGUGCGGAAAAGCCAAUAUUGAUCUUUGCUUAGAAACGGUGGUUGUAAGGUGGAGUUGACCCUUAGCGGUCACCGUAAGAGCUUGGUGUUGUUAUUACGGGUCUUAUUGUUUGAUACACGAUUUGGUUCCUAUUUCUUGUAAUCUCGUAUGUCAAGCUAUCUAUCUUACUUUAUUGCAUUGUUUUGUUGGAUA
Long non-coding RNA from Capsicum annuum, 2007 nucleotides. RefSeq lists it as uncharacterized. The transcript has 2 exons. Lineage: Eukaryota; Viridiplantae; Streptophyta; Magnoliopsida; Solanales; Solanaceae. The record is from RefSeq and is a predicted model, not a curated record.